Non-coding RNA from Pelobates cultripes (western spadefoot toad), 222 nucleotides. Lineage: Eukaryota; Metazoa; Chordata; Amphibia; Anura; Pelobatidae. The record is from the annotation of a GenBank genome assembly.
GUUAGUUCCCACACCUUUACCCCCAGGUCUUGACCCCUGCUUAAAGAGUUACUCCAACUACCAUGUCACGUAUGCUCCUAGAAGUGGUCAUAGUGGCAGGAAUCUGUAUGUGCAACAUUUCGGCUUGAAACUCUGCACAUGUAAAGAUAUAUGUGCCAGGGCUAAUUAAACCCCCAGCACAUGGGCUGCCUAAUGUGAAUUCUAUGCAAAAAAAUACAUCUG